AUGGCGCUGGCGGCCGCCGCUGCCGCCGCCGCGGCGGGGGUGAGCCAGGCGGCCGUGCUGGGCUUCCUGCAGGCGCACGGCGGGAAGGUGCGGGACUCGGAGCUGCUGAGCCGCUUCAAGCCGCUGCUGGAGGCCGGGGACCCGCGCGGCCGCGCCGCCCGCCGGGACCGCUUCAAGCAGUUCGUCAACGACGUGGCGGUGGUGAAGGAACUCGACGGCGUCAAGUUCGUGGUGCUGAGGAAGAAGCCUCGACACACGCCGGGCCCGCAGCCCCUGCUCCCCAACAUCCCUGGGGUCCCCGCCCCCCCGCCGCCGACGCCGACCCCGUGCACCCCGCCCGGGGAACACGGGGCGGGUGGAGAUCCACCUUCCGCCGCGGGGGCCCCGCCGUCGGAGCCACGGGACCCUCCCGACGCUCCGGCUCCUGAGCCCACCCAGCCCACCGGGGAGCCGUCGGAAGAACCGGCCCAGCCGCCCGGGGGACCCGCCGCCGCCGCCGCUCCGCGGGAUCGAGCGUCCGGGCUAGUCCAGCCCUCCACGGACCCCGCUGCGGACGCGGCCCCGGCCACCUGCGCACCGUCCUCGGCGUCUCCGGAGCCCGGGCCGAGCGUCGCCAGGGGCCCCCCGCCGCCCCUUCCCCGCGCGCCGCCGCCGCCGUCCAAGCCGUGCAUGCUGCCGGUGCGCUGCUGCGUCCCGGGCCCCGCCGCGCUGCGCGUGGUGCGGCUGGAGGAGCAGAAUCUGCGCCGGCAGCUGUCGGAAGAACGGAGCCCGCGGAGCAGCCCGCUGCUCCUGCGCAGGCUCUCGGUGGAGGAAUCCGGCCUGGGGCUGGGGCUGGGCCUGAGCCUGGGCCCGGGGCGCUCCCCACACCUGCGACGCCUGUCACGCGCCGGCCCGCGCCUCCUGAGCCCGGACCUGGAGGAGGCGCCCGCCGCGUCCGCCGCCGCCGCCGCCGCGCCGCCGUCCGCGGUGCCGCUGGAACCCGCCGAGCACGAGUGGCUCGUGCGCACCGCCGGCGGCCGCUGGACCCACCAGUUGCACGGGCUGCUGCUGCGGGACAGCGGCCUGGCGGCCAAACGCGACUUCACGUCGGGUUACACCGCCCUGCACUGGGCCGCCAAGAGCGGCGACCGCGAGAUGGCGCUGCAGCUGGUGGAGGUGGCGCGGCGCGGGGGCGCGCGCGUGGACGUGAACGCGCGCUCGCACGGCGGCUACACGCCGCUGCACCUGGCGGCGCUGCACGGCCACGAGGACGCCGCCGUGCUGCUGGUCGUGCGCCUGGGCGCGCAGGUGCACGUGCGCGACCACAGCGGACGCCGUCCCUACCAGUACCUGCGGCCCGGCGCUUCCUACGCGCUGCGUCGUCUCCUAGGCGACCCCGGCCUGAGGGACGCCGGCGAGCCGGACGCCGGCGUGGGCGGCGGCGGCUCCUCCUCCUCCUCUGUAGCCUCGCGGCACCCCGUGCAAGUGGCCGCGACCAUCCUGGGCUCCACCACCAGCGCGUUUCUGGGGGUCCUGGCGGAUGACCUGAUGCUCCAGGAUCUGGCCCGUGGCUUGCGGAAGUCGAGUUCUUUCAGUAAGUUUUUGGGCGCCUCACCUAUGGUCCCCCGGAAAAAGACGAAGAUCCGCGCCGGCCUGGCCACCUUCUCCGAAGUCUCACGUCGGUCCGCCACCACGGGGCACCUGGCGGGGUUCAUGCCCAGCCUGCCCCCUGCCACCUGAAAGCCCUUUGCGGGGAGAUCUCGGCCUGGUUGAUGUAACCGAGGGGCCUUGGCUCCUACACACACAGGCUUAAGCCUGGCCCAGGGUGUGGGGGCUCAACGCACCGGCACCCCCAUCUCACACACACACACACACCUGCCCCCAUGUCGUUUCCCAUUCCCUGGAUCUGCAUCCA
Molecule: RNA transcript, 1894 nt
Organism: Perognathus longimembris pacificus (Pacific pocket mouse)
Lineage: Eukaryota; Metazoa; Chordata; Mammalia; Rodentia; Heteromyidae
Gene: Sowaha
Gene name: sosondowah ankyrin repeat domain family member A
Exons: 3
Source: RefSeq, a predicted model, not a curated record